Transfer RNA from Ovis aries (sheep), 72 nucleotides. It matches the Rfam family "tRNA". Rfam says of the family: Transfer RNA (tRNA) molecules are approximately 80 nucleotides in length. Their secondary structure includes four short double-helical elements and three loops (D, anti-codon, and T loops). NCBI's taxonomy places the organism in Eukaryota, Metazoa, Chordata, Mammalia, Artiodactyla, Bovidae. The record is from Rfam.
UCCCUUGUGGCUUAGCUGGUGAAGAAUCCGCCUGCAAUGCGGGAGACCUGGGUUCAAGCCCUGGGUUGGGAA